This is a long non-coding RNA of Panicum virgatum (switchgrass), 630 nucleotides long. RefSeq lists it as uncharacterized. NCBI's taxonomy places the organism in Eukaryota, Viridiplantae, Streptophyta, Magnoliopsida, Poales, Poaceae. The record is from RefSeq and is a predicted model, not a curated record. The transcript is spliced from 2 exons.
GGUACCCUGUCCACCGGCGCCUGUCAUUGUGCUUCCCAUCAGCACCCAUCGUUGUGUAGAUUCGGCUGCAGCCCUCUCCCUCUACUAGCCACAGCUGAAAGACAGAGUUGCAGGUUUGGUAGUAGCUCAAAGUCCAUAUGGAGGAAGCCCAGUUACUUCAGAUAUCCUGUGAGAGGGGCAGCUUGGUGACUAUGUCAGGUUGCAUGAAAUCAUGGAGAUCUUGGCAUUGAAAGUCCAUAAGGGUGAUGUGCAGGCUCUAGAAGAUCUGACCUAUGAAAGGAGGAAAGAAUUCCUGCGACAACAGCAUCCAUUGCCUCGGGAGUCAGGAGGUUCCAAUCGUAUAAUUCCUCAUCGAGGCAAGAAUCAUUCCUGUGAUAAAGAUGCAGUCAUACAGAUAUACAAGGGAUCUUGAUAUCCACGGCUAACGACCUAGCUCGGCAUAUGGAUUCGUUCCAUUACAAUUUAUUAGUUAUUAAGCUAGAGUAGAAUAGUUUUUGAUCCGGAACAUAGUUCUGGUUUGCUCUUGUUGCUGGUUGAAUAAAAUAAAAUAUUUAUUAUUUAUUAAAUUUUAUUAGAUUAUAUUGGAUUGCUAUGAUAUACUAAUAAAUGAAUUAAAUGUUUAGUAGUCUA